Molecule: long non-coding RNA, 1392 nt
Filed under: Bos taurus (domestic cattle)
Lineage: Eukaryota; Metazoa; Chordata; Mammalia; Artiodactyla; Bovidae
Description: long non-coding RNA NONBTAT026522
Source: RNAcentral
CCCUUUUAAAUGUUAAUUAGUUCCAUUUAUGUUUUCUGUUUUUCAAAUGCAACUGGGUAUUUUUUUUCCUCUUGGAAAAUAGUACAUAUUUUACUUUGGUAUGUAGCAAAAGGCUUCCAUUUCUGGAAGGGUUCUCUUGUUGUUCAACAAGGUCAGCCAGGUACCAGAUUCUAAAAGAACAAUUGCCCCUCCCCCCUUCUUCCCUUAAGUGGCCUUCUGACGGUAGGAGAAUGUGCUACUGCCCUGCCCGUUUCCCCUGUCCUGAGAGGCCGGUGUGAUUGAUGGAGGAAGUGCAAGGCUUGCUCUUUACCCACCCCACCCCCCAGGCGCUCUUAAAGCAGUUACAAGAUUUUCAGUCCACUGCAUACAACCCCAAUGCCCAGCACACCGGAAGUUUGUAUACUGGCCUCUUUUCAUGUCUUCAAAUGUGCAGGAAAUUCGAAAACUGUCACCUGGAAUAGGUCCCAUCUCUUCUGUGUGUUAGAUCAAACCAAAGAAGCCCCCAGCCAUGCCCAAAUGCUGCUCCAAAAGCCUGCCUUCCAGUCCUUACAAAAACCUUGCAGGAUUAAAUGUGUUAACUUUUUUAUUUUUGUACAGUUUCUAAGUGAUUUUUGCUAGUGAUGUUAAAUUGAAUUAAGUUUAUUUGAGGGGUGUGAGCACCUCCUCCAUUGAAAUAAACUGGUGACUUUCCUUUUAUUUUUUAAGAGCGGAAACCCAUUGUGUGCCUCUCGAUUUAAGGGUUUCUGAUUACAUUAUUCUUAAGACCAGCAUUGAUCCUUUAUAUACAAAGAUAUGUUUUCCUUGUUUUUUAUUACUGUUUCAGAAGAAAAUAAACCUUUUAUUUUGCUCUGGACCCAGUAACUGCGCUGGUACAUAGACGCACUGAGAAAACAAACUUUUGUAACCACCUCUGACUGUUUUUGUAUAUGAAAGUUGAUUACUUUUGAAAUAUUUGGAUCUAGUUUCUAAGUUAUUUUAGUGUUUUAUAUGUUCCCCAAAAUUACUUUGAAUCAGUCACCAGCAUAAUGAGUUCUUGGUGAUGCAGUGGUGAGACUUGUAAUGAGCAAAGCUACCUGGAGUAGCUCUCUCGUCCUCCCUUUCUUAGUACCCUGUUUUUUGAUUACAGUAAGACAUCACCAAUUAUCUGUAACCCCUUCAAGUAUAACUAGAUCCUCCUUCCUUCCACAUUUAAUUGCUUAAUAGUUUGAAGAAACUAUUGGAAAUGGGCAUUUUAUAUGACAUGUAUGGCUUUAAAAUAUUAUAAAUGAAGAAAAAGAAAAAUGAGAAGGUUUAUGUGGGUCUGUAAGGUAUGGCUGUGGAAAGAUAUUGUAGUAGUUUUGACACUAUUGUUAUUACCUUUAAAAUCAUUUACCCAAUAAAAUGUUAAAACUG